CAGGCGGUGUGGCCGUGGGCCGCGGCGAUGCACAGGGGCGUGGGAGGAUGCACGAUUUCUGUCCCAGUGGGAAGGGAUGGCCUUCCAGUGGACGUGACCUCCCCUGCAUGGGGUCGGAAGGAUGAGAUGGCAAAGGAGCGUCUGGUCACCUGCAAAUUGGACAUGCCUCAAACGCAUAGAAUGGAAUGGAAUCUUUGGUUUCCAAAUGCAGAGAAGGACUGGCUGAUCUCAGGAAGACGGAAGCAUCACAGAAAAACAAAAAAAAGUAACCUAAAUAUUACCUGUGACCUCCCUAUGCCUCAAGGCUGCAGCCACAUCACAGCUGGGAGGCAACAGAUAUGAAAUGAAGGAUUAACACAGAAAGGAGAGUGGGAUGGAAAGCGGGGGAGAGACUGGGGAUGACAUUUCUGAACCCCUGCCCCAGCUCUGGGGCCCCAGCCACCAGACCUCUUGUCUUUAUGCCAUAAGCACUUUCUGUGUGUUUUCUGUUACAUACAACUGAAGGCAUUCUUGGUUGAUACAGGUAGUGUAUUUACUCUGCCUUUCAAUCAUGGAAAUGUCCUGGUUUUAGUCUAAGGAGGUGCAGGGGGAAUGGCUCAGCCAGUGAAGAACUUGAGUUGAUCCUCCCAAGCCUUCUAUUCUUUGAUAAUAGUAACGACCUGCCUUCUAUGAUAAAACCCCAGUGGAUUUUGCAAUGACAACAGCCAACUCCAGACUCCCCAAGUGGAGGAGCAAUGGCACCAUAGUUUGGGCUCAUGAAUGAAUAGUAGCCAGCGCCACUGGAGUGACUACCUUUUAGUGUCACAGACCCUGACAAAUGGACCCUGAUAGAGACAUCCUUGGAAUCUCUGGCAAUGGACUCCUCCCAGAAGGGAAAUACGAACUCUGAGGAUCUGCCUGCUGUUCAGAGGCUUGACCGAACUGCAGAGUAUAAUUGGUCUCUGCUUCUUUCUUUGACCAAAGAACUGGGGGUUUUGGAGAUUUUUGAGCUUAAAUUUCCAAGCACAAAUACUUUGCAGCAUCAAAUAUCUUACAUGUAGGGAGAAAUCUAGCACUAGUACAUUUGUGUAGAUACAAUGACAUGAGGGGUAGUGACCACAGGAAAAUGAUCAGCACUGGGGUAAGGCAAUUUAAAGAAACAAAAUGAGAAUUAUUAGAGACUGCUAUCAAACUUCAAAUCAGAAGGGAGGUAAAGAUGAAGCACUUGUUAGGCAGAUAAUAAGAUGACAAAGCCUCAAAAUACGGCACUCAUGGAUCUUAAUUACCAAGCUAUCUGCUGGGUGUUUAAUCAGUGGCACAUACACUAUGCUAAUUAUUCCGGCUAAUUUCGUUAUAAUGCAAUUCUUUAUCAACCCUGCUAUGUAAAAAUUAGGAAUUGAAAUGUAACUAACACAAAUUAUAUUUAAGGCAACAUGAAUUUCUUUAUUUCAGCAUGAAAUCUUCUAGUCUCUAUUUCUUUAUCUUUCUUUCUGUGAUUAUCUAAUGUCACCCCCUCCCCAACCCAGCCCCCCACAGCCUAAACCAUCAUUUGAGGAGAAAGGAACCCAGCACAAAUAUUUCCCCUUUUAACUUCUAGGAAAUCAUUCGUUUGACUUUCUCCUUCAGCGAUUGUCCUUGAAAGGUGUAGAAUAUAUUUAAGCAAUCAGUGACAGACGGAUCCUAGCUUUCUCUGCAUCAGAUAAAGGUCGCUUUAUUGUUCUAUUUUAAUUUUUAAAUAAUCAUUGGAGGGUGCCAUAAUUCAUGUAUUUUCAGUGAUGUAUGUAACUUACAUCAAGUUGUGUUUACAAAUGUGUUUAGAUGAGGGCUAAUAACACAUAUCUUGUAGAGAAGCAUAAAUAUUGUCUGGAAUUUUUAAUGUCAUGCAGCUCUGCAUCCAAAGAGGUCAGGACUGCCAGGCUUGUGAUUUUCUCCUCCAUCAAUACUUUUGGUUUUGAACAAAUUUGCAGCAAAAUAACAAAGCCUAAUAAAUCAGUUGAUAAAACCGGGGUCUAAUUUAGUCCCAGCACUAAGUCCGUUGCCAAGGGAGGGCCAUGGUCUGGAAGAAAUGAACAGUCGCAAGUCCACAGACCCCCCUGUGACCUCAGAGAAAGGGACAAGCACUGUGCCUGUCUAGACUCACUCAAACUGACCGAGACAUAGCCCUGUCUGUGGAUUCACCUCUGAGACUCAUUUCUUCUUUGGGCCUGAAAUGUCCCUGCUUUUCCCUGAUAGCGUGGAAAGCAGCUCCUUCAUCCCCUGGUCCCCUGGGUGCUGUUGGGUGCAUACUCGCCUCCAGAUCCAGCUGCUGGGCCCUCCCCACUCUGGGUCAGCUGGGGCUUUGCUCCCAGGACAGAGGCUUCCAUCAUCUCGCAUCAUCCUCUCUCCUGUCUUUGAUUCCCUCUGUCUUAUUUUUAUUUCUCCUAAUUCCCAGCUCCGGCGACAUAGACGUUUCUUCUUGUGGUCAGAAGCUUUUUAAUUUUGCUAAAGAUUAAUGCUUUUUUUUUUUUUUUUUUUUUUUUGACAGAAUCUCACUCUGUUGCCCAUGCUGGAGUGCAGUGGUACAAUCACUGCUCACUGCAGCCUCUACGUCCCGGGCUCAUUCUAAUCCUCCCACCUCAGCCUCCCAAGUAGCUGGGACUACAGGUGUGUGCCACCAUGCCAGGCUAAUUUUUAAAUUCUUUUUAGCAGAGAGAGGGUCUCACUAUGUUGCCCAGGCUGGUUUCAAACUCCUGGGCCCAAGCAAUCCUCACGCUUCAGCCUCCCAAAGUGCUGGGGUUACAGUUGUGAGCCACCAUGUCCAAAUUGAAUUCCUUUUCAAUGAGUCUUUUCUAGCUUUUCUGUCUUGACAGUUUUGACUGAGAUGUUUGUGUGAAUGUAUUUUCCAUUCUGUGCGGGGCCAGGCUCACCCAUCAAUCCACCAGGCUGCAGUAGCCACUUUGUAGUGCAAUCUUGGUACUUGAACUUGAGGCGGCUCUUUGUGCAACGAGAGAGCAGGAGCCACUUUCAUUUCCUGUGUGUCUUCAGAGGCUGGAAACAAUGCAAUGGGAUGUGGGCACAGACUAGAUGUGAUG
This 3050-nucleotide long non-coding RNA is filed under the name Homo sapiens (human). RNAcentral describes it as "HSALNT0049146". Lineage: Eukaryota; Metazoa; Chordata; Mammalia; Primates; Hominidae. The record is from RNAcentral.